AGCUCGUGUCGUGAGAUGUUGGGUAAGUCCCGCAACGAGCGCAACCCUUGUGUUUAGUUGCAAACAAGGUCAAGCUGUGCACUCUAGACAGACUGCCGUGGACAACACGGAGGAAGGUGGGGAUGACGUCAAAUCAUCAUGCCCCUUAUGAUCUGGGCUACACACGUGCUACAAUGGCCGGUACAACGGGCAGCGAAGGAGCGAUCCGGAGCGAAUCCUAAAAAGCCGGUCCCAGUUCGGAUUGCAGGCUGAAACUCGCCUACAUGAAGUUGGAGUUGCUAGUAAUCGCGAAUCAGAAUGUCGCGGUGAAUGCGUUCCCGGGUCUU
This 326-nucleotide ribosomal RNA is filed under the name uncultured Fusibacter sp. RNAcentral's name for it is "bacterial SSU rRNA". It matches the Rfam family "Bacterial small subunit ribosomal RNA", at positions 1057 to 1382 of the family's 1533-position model. Lineage: Bacteria; Bacillati; Bacillota; Clostridia; Eubacteriales; Fusibacteraceae. The record is from RNAcentral.